Molecule: transfer RNA, 93 nt
Filed under: Candidatus Rokuibacteriota bacterium
Lineage: Bacteria; Candidatus Rokuibacteriota
Description: Candidatus Rokubacteria bacterium tRNA-Phe
Source: RNAcentral
GGGCGAGGUACAACACUUCGGCAUACUUGCGCGUCGGCGCUGGUCGGUCUGAAAAUCCUGGUGUCGGCGGUUCGAUCCCGUCCCUGCCCACCA